GGUGUACCUACGAUGAAAAUUACAGAUCUCUCCAUUCUUUCUCCUUUCGGAUCUGUGAGACCACGCCAAUGUUGAUGUGGACCAACAAAUUCUCACACAGCUCUCUGCAUACAGUUGGAAGCAGCUAUUCUGCUCUUGCCUGCUCUGUUCAAGGAGGACCCAGGGUUGCUGUUUGAAGUUGAGGGCCAUUCUCAGACCAGCCCAUCCCAACAUCUAAGAUGAAGCUUUGGGCAGGUCAUCUCGUACAGUAUGACCACACUGUGCUCACGUUGGAUGGACAGUUAAUCACAGAGGAGAGCGAGGACAUCUCGACGACACUGGGACUCCUCCUGUGUGUAUAUUUUGUGUUUGGAAUCCAGUAUCCUAAAGCAGUGGUUCUCAAUUCCAGUCCUGGCGACCUGCCCCCACAUGUUUUGCAUGUCUCACUUAUUUAACAUGCCUGAUUCAGAUCAUGAGCUCGUUAGAAAAGAGCUCUAUGAAUGAACUGUGCUCUGACUGACAUGGUGCCUACUAGGGUUGCACCAUACACCGGUACUACGGUAGUAUCGUGAUACUAAAGCUUAAAAAUACCCCCGGUGCCAUUGCAUUUUUUAAACGGUAGUAUCAUCCAUACAGUACCUUAAGAUAUGUUGUAUGUACGGCAGGAACACUGUUUAAAACAUUCAUUUGAACAUGCAUGCCAGCAGAAACAUUACAAGUUGAUUGCCAAAUGUCUUUCUGCUGUGCUCUGUGUAGUAUAGUCUGUGUAUACACGUUAUAUAGUAUUGAGUGUUUCCUGAUGCUUCAGUUCAGUUUGCAGUGAGAAGUUGCACACAUUGUUGUUCAUGCUGCAGUUUGUCAGAAGAAAGGGUCUGAUUCAGACCAUGAUGUCAUUUUAAAAACCCAGCCAACAUUUCCACGUGGGCCCCAUGUGGGUUUUUGAUGGGCAACCCAAAUGGGACCCAUACAAUUUUGUCCAUCGGCUCCACUUGGGCCCCAUGUGUGUUAGCCCAUAGGGGCACAU
Molecule: long non-coding RNA, 1003 nt
Organism: Onychostoma macrolepis
Lineage: Eukaryota; Metazoa; Chordata; Actinopteri; Cypriniformes; Cyprinidae
Exons: 4
Source: RefSeq, a predicted model, not a curated record